RNAcentral lists this ribosomal RNA (559 nucleotides) under uncultured bacterium. RNAcentral describes it as "bacterial SSU rRNA". It matches the Rfam family "Bacterial small subunit ribosomal RNA", at positions 10 to 523 of the family's 1533-position model. The record is from RNAcentral.
AGUUUGAUCCUGGCUCAGGAUGAACGCUGGCGGCGUGCCUAAUACAUGCAAGUCGAACGCUUUGUGGUUCAACUGAUUUGAAGAGCUUGCUCAGAUAUGACGAUGGACAUUGCAAAGAGUGGCGAACGGGUGAGUAACACGUGGGAAACCUACCUCUUAGCAGGGGAUAACAUUUGGAAACAGAUGCUAAUACCGUAUAACAAUAGCAACCGCAUGGUUGCUACUUAAAAGAUGGUUCUGCUAUCACUAAGAGAUGGUCCCGCGGUGCAUUAGUUAGUUGGUGAGGUAAUGGCUCACCAAGACGAUGAUGCAUAGCCGAGUUGAGGGACUGAUCGGCCACAAUGGGACUGAGACACGGCCCAUACUCCUACGGGAGGCAGCAGUAGGGAAUCUUCCACAAUGGGCGAAAGCCUGAUGGAGCAACGCCGCGUGUGUGAUGAAAGGUUUCGGCUCGUAAAACACUGUUGUAAGAGAAGAAUGACAUUGAGAGUAACUGUUCAAUGUGUGACGGUAUCUUACCAGAAAGGAACGGCUAAAUACGUGCCAGCAGCCGCGGUAA